AAGUGUAGUUGAGGAGGCCAAAUUCCUCACUAGGUGCACACCUAACAGAUGAACAAAGACAAGCUGUUUCGGAAAUGGGACUGGGCAACCUCAUUAAGCUCAAUUAUAGAAGGGUGACAAGAAAACUAUGUUGUUGAUUAGCUGAGAGGAUUGACACAGCUAGGAGGGUAAUACAAUUGAAUUUCUGGAUACAUAAUUAGAGUGAAGGACGACGGAAUGCCGCUUCGGUUAGAAUGGGUCACAUGUAGUCACAUAUUUAUAAAAGUUUAAUGCAACAUCUCGUGGAAUUAACAUUAAAAUUUAAUGUAAAAUUAGUGGAAUUAACAUUGAGACAU
RNAcentral lists this long non-coding RNA (335 nucleotides) under Citrus sinensis (sweet orange). RNAcentral describes it as "long non-coding RNA (CSIN_LNC004760)". Lineage: Eukaryota; Viridiplantae; Streptophyta; Magnoliopsida; Sapindales; Rutaceae. The record is from RNAcentral.